RNAcentral lists this ribosomal RNA (502 nucleotides) under uncultured bacterium. RNAcentral describes it as "bacterial SSU rRNA". It matches the Rfam family "Bacterial small subunit ribosomal RNA", at positions 28 to 523 of the family's 1533-position model. The record is from RNAcentral.
GAUGAACGCUAGCGGCAGGCUUAACACAUGCAAGUCGAGGGGCAGCGCGGGUAGCAAUACCUGGCGGCGACCGGCAAACGGGUGCGGAACACGUACGCAAUCUGCCCUUACCCGGAGCAUAGCCCGAAGAAAUUCGGAUUAACUCUCCAUAAGAUAGUAAAAUGGCAUCAUUUAGCUAUUAAAAUUUAUUGGGUAAGGAUGAGCGUGCGUCCCAUUAGCUAGUUGGUAGGGUAACGGCCUACCAAGGCGACGAUGGGUAGCUGGUGUGAGAGCACGACCAGCCACACGGGCACUGAGACACGGGCCCGACUCCUACGGGAGGCAGCAGUGAGGAAUAUUGGUCAAUGGACGCAAGUCUGAACCAGCCAUGCCGCGUGAAGGAUGAAAGGCCUUCUGGGUUGUAAAACUUCUUUUAUGUGGGAAGAAACCUCUGAUUUCUAUUAGAGUUGACGGUACCAUAGGAAUAAGCACCGGCUAAACUCCGUGCCAGCAGCCGCGGUAA